This 1292-nucleotide long non-coding RNA is filed under the name Accipiter nisus (Eurasian sparrowhawk). Its description in RNAcentral is "lncRNA (ENSANIG00000014977.1)". The record is from RNAcentral. Lineage: Eukaryota; Metazoa; Chordata; Aves; Accipitriformes; Accipitridae.
CAUGGUUUAACCCCAGCCAGCAACUAAGCACCACACAGCCACUCUUUCACUCCCCCCCCCCCCCCCCCCCCCCCCCCCCCCCNNCCUGGCUGGACGCCAGGGGCAAACCAAAGCCAUUCUAUCACCCCCCCCCCCAGCUGGACAGGGGAGAGAAAAUAUAACAAAGGGCUCAUGGGUCAAGGUAAGGACAGGGAGAGAUCACUCACCAAUUACUGUCACGGGCAAAACAGACUUGACUUUGGGAAAAUUAACUUAAUUUAUUGCCAAUCAAACCAGAGUAGGGUAAUGAGAAAUAAAACCAAAUCUCAAAGCACCUUCCCCCCACCCCUCCCUUCUUCCCAGGCACAGCUUCACUCCCAAAUUCUCUACCUACACCCCCACCUCAGCAGCGCAGGGGGACAGGGAAUGGGGGUUACAAUCAAUUCAUCACAAGUUGUCUCUGCUGCUUCUUCCUCCUCAGGGGCAGGACUCCUCAACACCCUUGCCCUGCCCCACCGUGGAGUCCCUCCCACGGGAGACAGUCCUCCACGAACUUCUCCAAUGUGAGUCCCUCCCACAGGGUGCAGUUCUUCACGAACUCUCUAGCAUGGGUCCCUUCCACAGAGCACAGUCCUUCAGGAGCACACUGCUCCAGUGUGGGUCUCCUGCAGGGGCACAAGUCCUGCCAGAAAACCUGCUCUGUGGGCUCCUCUCUCCACAGAUCCACAGGUCCUGCCAGGAACCUGCUCCAGCGCGGGCUUCCCACAGGGUCACAGCCUCCUUCGGGAACCCACCUGCUCCGGCAUGGGGUCCUCCACAGGCUGCAGGUGGAGAUCUGCUCCACCGUGGACCUCCAUGGACUGCAGGGGGACAGCCUGCCUCACCAGGGUCUUCACAACAGGCUACAGGGGAAUCUCUGCUCCGGCGCCUGGAGCAUCUCCUCCCCCUCCUCCUGCACUGACCUGGGGGUCUGCAGGGCUGUUUGUCUUACACAUCCUCACUCCUCUCUCCAGCUGCAGUUUGAGGCCCAGCAACUUUUUUUUCCCCUUCUUAAAUCUGUUAUCCCAGAGGCACUACCACUGUUGCUGAUGGGCUUGGCCUUGGCCAGCGGUGGGUCAGUCUUGGAGCCAGCUGGUAUUGGCUCUGUCAGACAAAGGGUAAGCUUCCAGCAGCUUCUAACAGAAGCCACCCCUGUAGCCCCCCUGCUACCAAAACCUUGACACGCAAACCCAAUACGCUAGCAUAUCUAAUGAAACACGUACAUUUUUUGCUGAGAAGUGAUGAAAGAAAAUCAUAUUCCCACACUUGCUUGG